Molecule: ribosomal RNA, 374 nt
Filed under: uncultured organism
Description: partial 16S ribosomal RNA
Rfam family: Bacterial small subunit ribosomal RNA
Source: RNAcentral
GUAGGUGGCAAGCGUUGUCCGGAAUUAUUGGGCGUAAAGCGCGCGCAGGCGGUUCUUUAAGUCUGAUGUGAAAGCCCACGGCUCAACCGUGGAGGGUCAUUGGAAACUGGAGAACUUGAGUACAGAAGAGGAAAGCGGAAUUCCACGUGUAGCGGUGAAAUGCGUAGAGAUGUGGAGGAACACCAGUGGCGAAGGCGGCUUUCUGGUCUGUAACUGACGCUGAGGCGCGAAAGCGUGGGGAGCAAACAGGGAUUAGAUACCCUGGUAGUCCACGCCGUAAACGAUGAGUGCUAAGUGUUAGGGGGUUUUCCGCCCCCCUUAGUGCUGCAGCUAACGCAUUAAGCACUCCGCCUGGGAGUACGGCCGCAAGGCUG